AUGAGCUUCUACGGCGUCCAUGAGACCCUCCAUCAGGAGGUUGCCAAAUACCAGUCGAGGUUUUUUUGGGCUGGUGAGGGCGACAAGCAGAAAUACCAUAUGGUGAGCUGGCCCGACAUUUGCAAACCCAAAGACCAGGGUGGCCUUGGGAUCUUGUCAUCUCGGCACAUGAACAUUGCUCUCCUGACUCGUUGGCUGUGGUGUAUCGCCAAUGGGGAGGGAGGCCUCUGGCUUACCAUCAUCCGUAAUAAGUAUCUUCGGGGCCAGCCUCUUGCCUUUUCCCAGCGUACGGGUGGAUCCCAGUUCUGGCAGUCUGUGAUCCAGCUUCUGCCCGUCCUUCGCAUCGGCACGUCCAUCUCAAUUGGAUCCGGGUCCUCGACCCUGUUCUGGUUCGACCGUUGGUUAGGGGACUCCCCCCUGGCUGCGGGAUUCCCAAAACUCUUUGCCAUUGCGGCCGACCCUCGGGUCUCUGUCGAGACGGCCCUUAUUGACUUAGGGCGUCUCGCUUUCCGGUGCCCCUUCGGCCCCCUCGAGGUGGCUGCUUGGGACUCCCUCCUCCAAGACAUCGCCCUUAUGCCGAUGAACGUCGAGGAGGACCUGGAUGCCCUUUCAUGGCGCCUUGAGCCGUCUGGCCGCUUCUCCACGAAGUCCUUGUAUGCCGCCAUUGCGCCCUUGGCGGACCGGAGCCCUUUAGCCUGA
This 699-nucleotide ribosomal RNA is filed under the name Triticum aestivum (bread wheat). RNAcentral's name for it is "partial small subunit ribosomal RNA". Lineage: Eukaryota; Viridiplantae; Streptophyta; Magnoliopsida; Poales; Poaceae. The record is from RNAcentral.